This 530-nucleotide ribosomal RNA is filed under the name uncultured archaeon. RNAcentral's name for it is "bacterial SSU rRNA". It matches the Rfam family "Archaeal small subunit ribosomal RNA", at positions 347 to 879 of the family's 1478-position model. The record is from RNAcentral.
CCUCUGCACUAGGCGAAAGCCUGACAGGGUUACUCUGAGUGAUUCCCGCUAAGGGGAUCUUUUGGCACCUCUAAAAAUGGUGCAAAAUAAGGGGUGGGCAAGCCUGGUGUCAGCCGCCUCGGUAAUACCAGCACCCCGAGUGGUCGGGACAAUUAUUGGGCCUAAAGCAUCCGUAGCCGGCCACGCAAGUCCUCCGUUAAAUCCACCCGCUCAACGGUUGGGCUGCGGAGGAUACUACAUGGCUAAGAGGCGGGAGAGGCAAGCGGUACUCAAUGGGUAGGGGUAAAAUCCUUUGAUCCAUUGAAGACCACCAGUGGCAAAGGCGGCUUGCCAAAACGCGCUCGACGGUGAGGGAUGAAAGCUGGGGGAGCAAACCGGAUUAUAUACCCGGGUAGUCCCAGCUGUAAACGAUGCAUACUCGUGUAUGGGAUGGCCUCGACCCAUCCCAGUGCCACAGGAAAGCCGUUAAGUCUGCCCCCUGAAGAGUACUGUCGCAGCACUGACUCUUAAGAGAUUUGGCGGGAGAGCAC